RNAcentral lists this ribosomal RNA (450 nucleotides) under uncultured bacterium. RNAcentral describes it as "bacterial SSU rRNA". It matches the Rfam family "Bacterial small subunit ribosomal RNA", at positions 328 to 793 of the family's 1533-position model. The record is from RNAcentral.
AGGCCAGACUCCUACGGGAGGCAGCAGUGGGGAAUAUUGCACAAUGGGGGAAACCCUGAUGCAGCGACGCCGCGUGAGCGAUGAAGUAUUUCGGUAUGUAAAGCUCUAUCAGCAGGGAAGAAGAUGACGGUACCUGACUAAGAAGCCCUGGCUAACUACGUGCCAGCAGCCGCGGUAAUACGUAGGGGGCAAGCGUUAUCCGGAUUUACUGGGUGUAAAGGGAGCGUAGACGGCAGUGCAAGUCCGGAGUGAAAGCCCGGGGCUCAACCCUGGGACUGCUCUGGAAACUGUAAAGCUGGAGUGCGGGAGGGGCAGGCGGAAUUCCUGGUGUAGCGGUGAAAUGCGUAGAUAUCAGGAGGAACACCGGCGGCGAAGGCGGCCUGCUGGACCGUAACUGACGUUGAGGCUCGAAAGCGUGGGGAGCAAACAGGAUUAGAUACCCCGGUAUAA